Molecule: long non-coding RNA, 1688 nt
Organism: Xenopus laevis (African clawed frog)
Lineage: Eukaryota; Metazoa; Chordata; Amphibia; Anura; Pipidae
Exons: 2
Source: RefSeq, a predicted model, not a curated record
ACUUGAACUCUGUGACCAAUAAGGAAAAGGAAUGGACAGAAGACACCUCCCCCCUGUGCGCCUGCCCUGCCUUCCCGAAGUCGGCAGUUCUCAGAAAGCAGGGGGGCUAAUAAAAAAUGAAGAGGAAACGUGGUGCAGGGGCAACUGCCAGUAUUCACCCAUAGCCAAUUGGAAGCUGUAGUAACAAUAUCAUGAAGGCCAAAGGUUACCAGUCUCUACUCUUUCUACCGGAAAUCCUAAUGUAAUUACAGUAUCUGCAACGUGGCCACCACUGUCUGGCAGUUGGGAAGAUGAGAUUCCUCCCAGCACUGACACAUCUUUCACCCCACACCAAGCUGUGCAAUGAUAUUUGUUUUCCAGGCAACUGUAUUUUCUUCUGCAACUUUCCCUAAAUGACUUUCCAACGCUAUGACGUGAAGACACGAGACACCAGGCCUCGGAGAGGAGUAACGGAGUAUUCCAACCAGAGUGAGAUCAUCCCUGCACUGAUAAUAUAUUUACCAUGAGCAUUCCGGAAUCUAAUGGGCUUAUUUGUACUUUUCCUCAGCUCAUCCUUUCAUAGGAUUCUCUUAUUAUUCUCACCCUAUUCUGGGCCUAUUAUGCGCCUGCCACUCUAACCGUCUAAAUGGCCUUGUGGCAGCAUGAAGUCAUUUUUACAAUGAAUGCAGAAACAGGGAUUUAACAUAUAACUGAAUCAUUGUUGCAGAAUAAAGACCUGCCUUAGCGUGUGCAAAAAUGAACUCAAGUCGUUCUUCAGAAAAGGCAAACAGAAUCCUCUACAAUGAUCAUGGAUGGCCAACCCAUGACCGUACUGUUGUUGUUAAACUACAACUCAGCAACAUAUAAAGGGUCACUGAUUCCCUUAUUGAGACGAUUGUGGUGUUCUUAAAAUCAAAAAUCAGUCAAAACAGUAAAAAAUAUAAAAAUCAAUGAGUAUUGCCAUUCUACCUUGUGACUGGAUUAAUAUAGUUUUAUUCUUCUCUAGAAUUCCAGCAGAAUAUUUGGUGCCCACUUAUUUGUGCCCCUCACAACAACAUCCGCUUAUCAACAUUUCCUGAACCAUGGACACAUAACCACACCCAUAAUCCACCAAAUCAAGUCCAAUUUCACAAAAUCCCCUUCCACUGGCACAAGCCUGGCCCUUUGUAGCCCAAAAAUUGCACUUUUAUUUCUCCUGGGGUCCCCUCUUCCACAUGGUCCCUGACUGUGUAUCUCCUAUACCCCUCUAAUGACAGCCCCACUUCUGGCACAGCAACAUGCACUGUGUCAAUAACGUUAUUACCACUGGAGCCACAAGUCAACUGUGCCCAUGGAUUUGUUGUCAGCAAGGGUUAGAAGCCUGGUUGAUUCCUACCAGAACACGUAGCAGUUUAUAAAUCCAAAAAGAACCUUCUGAUAAGUGCUUGAACAAGUGAUUUCUUGCAAAAGUCAUUUAGGAUAAUAAAUGGUGAUUUUUGGCAUUUUAGCCCCUAUGUUUGGGCUCCUAAAAUACACAUUAGGCAACACACCAAUUCAUGCAACUCAUUGCAGCUGGUCUGUCCCUUCCCAUUGUUCAUAUGGAACUCAUUUGUACUUAUUUAAAUGUAAAUGUGUUCCUUUCUUUGUGCAAUGUCCAUUAAUAUGUUACACCACCAAAUGUCACAGAGAUUAAAUAAGAGAGCUGAUUCUGCAGGAAUGGGUUGUGAUUU